CUGAGAAAUUGGUACUAAUACCCCAUAACAUCUCGAGUGGCAUCACUUGGGGUUGAAAGCCUCGGUGGUUAUGGAUGGGCAUGCGUUGUAUUAGCUAGUUGGUGAGGUAACGGCUCACCAAGGCGACGAUACAUAGGGGGACUGAGAGGUUAACCCCCCACAUUGGUACUGAGACACGGACCAAACUCCUACGGGAGGCAGCAGUGAGGAAUAUUGGUCAAUGGACGGAAGUCUGAACCAGCCAUGCCGCGUGCAGGAUGACGGCUCUAUGAGUUGUAAACUGCUUUUGUACGAGGGUAAACCCGAAUACGUGUAUUCGGCUGAAAGUAUCGUACGAAUAAGGAUCGGCUAACUCCGUGCCAGCAGCCGCGGUAAUACGGAGGAUCCAAGCGUUAUCCGGAUUUAUUGGGUUUAAAGGGUGCGUAGGCGGUUUGAUAAGUUAGAGGUGAAAUUUCGGGGCUCAACCCUGAACGUGCCUCUAAUACUGUUGAGCUAGAGAGUAGUUGCGGUAGGCGGAAUGUAUGGUGUAGCGGUGAAAUGCUUA
Molecule: ribosomal RNA, 544 nt
Filed under: uncultured bacterium
Lineage: Bacteria
Description: bacterial SSU rRNA
Rfam family: Bacterial small subunit ribosomal RNA
Source: RNAcentral